This 678-nucleotide ribosomal RNA is filed under the name Listeria monocytogenes. Its description in RNAcentral is "bacterial SSU rRNA". It matches the Rfam family "Bacterial small subunit ribosomal RNA", at positions 1 to 657 of the family's 1533-position model. The record is from RNAcentral. Lineage: Bacteria; Bacillati; Bacillota; Bacilli; Caryophanales; Listeriaceae.
UAUUUUAAAGAGAGUUUGAUCCUGGCUCAGGACGAACGCUGGCGGCGUGCCUAAUACAUGCAAGUCGAACGAACGGAGGAAGAGCUUGCUCUUCCAAUGUUAGUGGCGGACGGGUGAGUAACACGUGGGCAACCUGCCUGUAAGUUGGGGAUAACUCCGGGAAACCGGGGCUAAUACCGAAUGAUAGAAUGUGGCGCAUGCCACGCUUUUGAAAGAUGGUUUCGGCUAUCGCUUACAGAUGGGCCCGCGGUGCAUUAGCUAGUUGGUAGGGUAAUGGCCUACCAAGGCAACGAUGCAUAGCCGACCUGAGAGGGUGAUCGGCCACACUGGGACUGAGACACGGCCCAGACUCCUACGGGAGGCAGCAGUAGGGAAUCUUCCGCAAUGGACGAAAGUCUGACGGAGCAACGCCGCGUGUAUGAAGAAGGUUUUCGGAUCGUAAAGUACUGUUGUUAGAGAAGAACAAGGAUAAGAGUAACUGCUUGUCCCUUGACGGUAUCUAACCAGAAAGCCACGGCUAACUACGUGCCAGCAGCCGCGGUAAUACGUAGGUGGCAAGCGUUGUCCGGAUUUAUUGGGCGUAAAGCGCGCGCAGGCGGUCUUUUAAGUCUGAUGUGAAAGCCCCCGGCUUAACCGGGGAGGGUCAUUGGAAACUGGAAGACUGGAGUGCAGAAGAGG